Molecule: ribosomal RNA, 294 nt
Filed under: uncultured prokaryote
Description: partial 16S ribosomal RNA
Rfam family: Archaeal small subunit ribosomal RNA
Source: RNAcentral
GUGCCAGCCGCCGCGGUAAUACCGGCAGCCCGAGUGAUGGCCGAUCUUAUUGGGCCUAAGGCGUCCGUAGCUGGCCGCACAAGUCCAUCGGAAAAUCCACCCGCCCAAACGGGUGGGCGUCCGGUGGAAACUGUGUGGCUUGGGGCCGGAAGGCGCGACGGGUACGUCCGGGGUAGGAGUGAAAUCCUGUAAUCCUGGACGGACCGCCGAUGGCGAAAGCACGUCGCGAGGACGGAUCCGACAGUGAGGGACGAAAGCCAGGGUCUCGAACCGGAUUAGAUACCCCCGUAGUCC